This 455-nucleotide long non-coding RNA is filed under the name Daucus carota (carrot). RNAcentral's name for it is "long non-coding RNA (DCAR_LNC000922)". Lineage: Eukaryota; Viridiplantae; Streptophyta; Magnoliopsida; Apiales; Apiaceae. The record is from RNAcentral.
AUAUCAAUGGAUUUGAAGAUCUCUAAAAAAGCUUCUGAUAUGGAGGACAAACUUAACAAAAACUAGAGACAAUCCUCGGACAUUGGCAGAGAAGAAUCUCUCACUAUAUAUUAAUAUCGAAGAACUAUGUGCUAGUGGUCAUAGUUAACAAGAGUCGAAUCCCGAUAGCAAUGAAGCUGAUUUUGUUCCAGAUUUGGCUCAUUUUAAUGCCAACUAUUUGAUGUACUUCACCUAUUUUCGGCUAUUUCAAUUAGUGUUCUAAUCUCAGAAUUGUUUUUUAUUUAGUAAGUAUGGUAUUGAUCUUUGUUGUGGUUGUGUAGGACUUGUUUGUGGUUGUCUAGGAAUGACUAUACUUGUGGUUAGUAACAGCCUUUGUACUAUUUUUAUUAAUUUGUUGGUGUUGAACCUUUAAUGGUGGAUUAAUACAUUUUUGAAAUGGUCAUGCCAAAUUUUUU